UACGGAGGGAGCUAGCGUUGUUCGGAAUUACUGGGCGUAAAGCGCGCGUAGGCGGUUACUCAAGUCAGAGGUGAAAGCCCGGGGCUCAACCCCGGAACUGCCUUUGAAACUAGGUAACUAGAAUCUUGGAGAGGUCAGUGGAAUUCCGAGUGUAGAGGUGAAAUUCGUAGAUAUUCGCAAGAACACCAGUGGCGAAGGCGGCUCACUGGCCCGGUACUGACGCUGAGGUGCGAAAGCGUGGGAGCAACAGG
This 251-nucleotide ribosomal RNA is filed under the name uncultured bacterium. Its description in RNAcentral is "partial 16S ribosomal RNA". It matches the Rfam family "Bacterial small subunit ribosomal RNA", at positions 524 to 776 of the family's 1533-position model. The record is from RNAcentral.